This 450-nucleotide ribosomal RNA is filed under the name uncultured bacterium. Its description in RNAcentral is "partial 16S ribosomal RNA". It matches the Rfam family "Bacterial small subunit ribosomal RNA", at positions 338 to 795 of the family's 1533-position model. The record is from RNAcentral.
CCUACGGGAGGCAGCAGUGAGGAAUAUUGGGCAAUGGGCGCAAGCCUGACCCAGCCAUGCCGCGUGAAGGAUGAAUGCCCUAUGGGUUGUAAACUUCUUUUGUACGGGACGAAUCUCUCGAACGUGUUCGGGACUGACUGUACCGUACGAAUAAACAUCGGCUAACUCCGUGCCAGCAGCCGCGGUAAUACGGAGGAUGCAGGCGUUAUCCGGAUUCAUGGGGGUUAAAGGGUACGUAGGCGUCAGUGGUGAAAGCCUGCGGCUUAACCGGAGAAUUGCCAUUGAUACUGUUUUGCUUGAGUAUAGUUGAGGUGGGCGGAAUGUGUAAUGUAGCGGUGAAAUGCUUAGAUAUUACACAGAACACCAAUUGCGAAGGCAGCUCACUAAGCUGUUACUGACGCUGAGGCACGAAAGCGUGGGGAGCAAACAGGAUUAGAUACCCUGGUAGUC